RNAcentral lists this ribosomal RNA (2048 nucleotides) under Triticum aestivum (bread wheat). RNAcentral describes it as "partial small subunit ribosomal RNA". The record is from RNAcentral. Lineage: Eukaryota; Viridiplantae; Streptophyta; Magnoliopsida; Poales; Poaceae.
AAUACUAUAAAGGUGCGCCGUAGGUACCAUGUCUUGUAAAUACGCCACCAUUAAUUUACUUGCUGGAGGUGGAUGGAUCGCUCUGAACAGUAUCGAACCUUGUUGUGGUAACGGUCUAGACCUCUUGACGGGGGCUAUCCGACGAGCAUUACAAAGAUAAGGUUAGUUCUAAAGGAAUCUUCUUCUCUUAAGAACUAUCAAUUUUUAGAUCGCUUAGACGUGUUGGCCGGUUGAGACAUCGGCGGCAAGAUGGAACCGCCUUUCUCCACUGGUUUAGUCGUCUAGCCCCACAUGUGGCACGUCUGCGGUACCUAAGAUCGACCUAGGUUCAAGACAGGCGUCUUUUUCACGUGACGUCCAUAUCGUGUCUACCGGCAGUUUCUCUGCGCCCGAGAGAGGUGGCACCAACUUCGGCUACUCCACCUAAGAAGCUUACGUUCGUGUCUCGUCGUACAAAGUUGCCAAGAUCUAACACUCAGUCCGGUCUUUAGCUCCUGAGGUUCGAAAUAACUACAGCUUUCCCCUUUGUCACCUACCCAAGCUGCUGCAUCCGUGCCACGUUACGGUCUACUUUCUCGACGUUCGCGUCUAUCCUAUUCACGUGAACUUGAACGUAAAUCUCCUAAACGACUCUCCUUUCCUCUUCGUCAUCACCACGGAAGGUACCCUAACUGUAAACUAAGAGAACCUCUUCGAAUACUGAUAAUGUUAGAAAUAAGCACCCUCACGCCCAAGCCUUAUUCCAUGCCUUUCUCAGCAUGUUUGCAGUUUCCUCGAUUUUCAUACGUUCUCGAUGAGACGUCGACGCCCCCGUUUGGUUUCUUUUAAUUGAGUUCAAGAAGUUCUUGUCUCACGGGUCGGUACUAAUCUAACGAAUCUUGACUUCUGCUGCCGACCAUGUAUACGCUUAUAUCUCAUAGAGUGUUGGUACUCUACAACGUGUGCAUGCGUGUCUUUGAGGUGAAGGGAAGUGUGUCCGUGUAGCUGUUUAUGUGGUCUCUCGACCAAAGAGCCAACGCAGUCUUAUUGCAAUUAGAAUCGUUCCAAAUAUCGUAUUAGCCGUGUAAAAAGCCAGCAUAACUCUUGCAGGGAAAGUGUUUCUCCACGGACGCCUGCAACACACGUUUUAACUCGUCUCUGGUCCGUCUACUUCUACAAUUCUUUUGGUACCUAAUAAAACGUCUUAACUUCGUCAUGCUGGGACUUAAGUGAAUGUGCCACGCACAUCUGUCACUUUCAUCUCAAGUCUGUGAGUAUACCUGUUGACCCUUCUCGUUUAACGUCAUGGUGAUGAAGCCACUGCAAUAAUGUAAACUGUGAUGGAUAUCCUGUUUAGAAAUACUGUACGGCAAGCCUGAAAAACAACCUCACUUGUUGGUAAAGGUCUCACACUAUAUGCGACCACACGAAUACGCACUACUCUUCCAACUCUGGAAGUUGACCCAUAAAAGACUCAAACAUUUCGAAUACCCUCCCUUUUUUUGUUAAUGUUAAGAUUGACUAGUUCGUUCUCGAUACCUCCAGCGAUAUCUCCUCCAAAUAGGACUUCGUUGUGUGGCAACCACGUUCACCGUGCAAAAUUUCUUUCGUUUUCUUAGAGAUCCAUGAGACAUGUUGUUUGCGUCACUUAAGUCCCUACUCAAAGUGUUCGAUUAUGUCCUAUACGAGUGCCACCUUCUCAAACUUUUUGUUACUUUUCUCAACUAGCUGUUUGUAAGUGACAUCUUCUUGUGUAAGGAGUAUGUUUGAAUACUUUUCUCCGUCUACACCCGUUUUGGAAUAAAACGACCCUUUAAGACACGGUCUUACUGAUCGUGUGUUGUAUCACUUUCACGGUUAGUGUACAACUUCUUGAUGCAUGGAGGUCCUACGGGAUACUUAAACAAACAGUUUGUUAUAUCGUUCGAGGUCAAACUGUCUCUAGUUCUUCUUCCCAAAGUUCUUUUUGCGUGGUCUGACCAUUUUAAAACAUAAAUACACAUCUCUAAUCCACAUCCUUAUUAAGAUAGAAGUUAUUUCAAUAUCAUAAUUAGGUUUAGCAGAAGACU